Molecule: long non-coding RNA, 431 nt
Filed under: Ictidomys tridecemlineatus (thirteen-lined ground squirrel)
Lineage: Eukaryota; Metazoa; Chordata; Mammalia; Rodentia; Sciuridae
Description: lncRNA (ENSSTOG00000033302.1)
Source: RNAcentral
UUGCUUCUCCCCACCCCCUGCUCAGGCAGGGAUUCCACGUGCCCUCUCCUUGCAUUCCUCCGGGGACAGGGAGAUCACCACUUCACCAGACAGCCUGUCUUGCCCUGGGGCAGCUCUGUUCUUGGUCACCCUGGGCUUGGAGUGCCCUCCACCUGCCCUCAGCUUCUCUCCUCCACACUGCUGUUCCUCGAGUCCCUGGAAGGGGAUGACACAGCGCAAAGGUCCUUGUGAGGACCCAGCUCCGUGCUCUGGACUUCCCAGCCUCCACAGCCAAGAGCCAGAACAAUUCCAGUUGUUUUAUUGUCACCCAGUCUCAGCUGUUCUGUUAUGGCAAAGAGUGGUUCAGACAUGGCGUGAGGGGUGACAGGGAAGUGAAGGUGAGAUCCGUCUCCCCAGGUUGCAAGGAUCUUAAAAAAUCAGGCGGCCUUCUA